RNAcentral lists this ribosomal RNA (488 nucleotides) under uncultured bacterium. RNAcentral's name for it is "bacterial SSU rRNA". It matches the Rfam family "Bacterial small subunit ribosomal RNA", at positions 30 to 507 of the family's 1533-position model. The record is from RNAcentral.
AUUGAACGCUGGCGGCAUGCCUAACACAUGCAAGUCGAACGGUAACGACGGGAGCUUGCUCCCGGGCGACGAGUGGCGGACGGGUGAGUAACACUUAGGAAUCUGCCCAGUAGUGGGGGACAACCAGGAGAAAUCCUGGCUAAUACCGCAUACGCACUACGGUGGAAAGUGGGGGACCUUCGGGCCUCACGCUAUUGGAUGAGCCUAAGUCGGAUUAGCUUGUUGGUGAGGUAAAGGCUCACCAAGGCGACGAUCCGUAGCUGGUCUGAGAGGACGAUCAGCCACACUGGGACUGAGACACGGCCCAGACUCCUACGGGAGGCAGCAGUGGGGAAUAUUGGACAAUGGGCGCAAGCCUGAUCCAGCAAUGCCGCGUGCGUGAAGAAGGCCUGCGGGUUGUAAAGCACUUUCAGUAGAGAAGAAAAGCCUAGGGUUAAUAACCCUGAGUCUUGACGUAACCUACAGAAGAAGCACCGGCUAACUCCGUG